GACGAACGCUGGCGGCGUGCUUAACACAUGCAAGUCGAACGCUGAAGCUCAGCUUUUGUUGGGUGGAUGAGUGGCGAACGGGUGAGUAACACGUGAGUAACCUGCCCCCUUCUUUGGGAUAACGCCCGGAAACGGAUGCUAAUACUGGAUAUUCACUGGUCUUCGCAUGGGGGUUGGUGGAAAGGGUUUUUCUGGUGGGGGAUGGGCUCGCGGCCUAUCAGCUUGUUGGUGGGGUGAUGGCCUACCAAGGCUUUGACGGGUAGCCGGCCUGAGAGGGUGACCGGUCACAUUGGGACUGAGAUACGGCCCAGACUCCUACGGGAGGCAGCAGUGGGGAAUAUUGCACAAUGGGCGAAAGCCUGAUGCAGCGACGCCGCGUGAGGGAUGGAGGCCUUCGGGUUGUGAACCUCUUUCGCUCAUGGUCAAGCCGCAACAAUGGUUGUGGUGAGGGUAGUGGGUAAAGAAGCGCCGGCUAACUACGUG
This 483-nucleotide ribosomal RNA is filed under the name uncultured bacterium. Its description in RNAcentral is "partial 16S ribosomal RNA". It matches the Rfam family "Bacterial small subunit ribosomal RNA", at positions 28 to 507 of the family's 1533-position model. The record is from RNAcentral.